Long non-coding RNA from Orcinus orca (killer whale), 1576 nucleotides. RefSeq lists it as uncharacterized. The record is from RefSeq and is a predicted model, not a curated record. The transcript has 8 exons. Lineage: Eukaryota; Metazoa; Chordata; Mammalia; Artiodactyla; Delphinidae.
GCUGGAGCUUGUUGGUCGCUCUAGCACUGGUCUGAGUCGGGGUUCCUAUAUGGAACCCCAGAAAUACGACUCAACAGUAUGAUUUAAAGCAGCGGAACGAACAAGACCACGUCUGCAAGUCUUCACUGCAGCACUGUUUUCAUUGGAAAAGUGGAAACAAUCCAGAAUGUUCCACGUUAAGCCCCCAAAUGGUAAUCUUACAACUUGAGAACUCUCCCUGGAAAAGUAAGAGCCCAGAAACUGCUGAGCCUCCCAGUCUCAAUUUCCUUUCCCAGAUUCAUCAAGUAGAGGACGUUGACGUUGACAGAGAAAGACCAAAGGAACUUUUGUGACCUCAUCCAAAUGUCAUAACAAAAGUGGAUUUACUUAUAUAUGGCUGUGUGUCAAGUGUUACUUCAUUUUGUGACCUCUUGAGGAUGCGUCCAGCUCUGAGAUUCUGCGACACUUGAGGUAUAUCUGAAAUUUGCAGGUAAGAGAGAGCCGUUAAAGUUUUCUGAGGAGGACAGCGACCUGAACUAAGUUGUGUUUUACAAACACUGUCCUGGCAGCAAUGUAAAGGAUGAGUCAAGGGAAGAAGUCGAGGGCAGAGAAACCAGUUGUAGGAUUAUCAUGGGACAUUUCCUGAAUGGCUGCUGUGUUGUAGACAUCGUGCUUUACAUACGCAAUCUCAUUUAAUUCUCACAAUAAUGCAUGAUAGCAUGAUUAUUAUUUCCAUUUUAUGGAUGAGGAAACUGAGGCCAAGAGAGGAACCCCACCUUAUCCCACUGUGAAGGAAUCAGAGGAAGAUUAUUUACUUCACUUGAGUCUAGUUGAAUAUUCACCAGGAUUAAUCCAGAUGGGAGAAGGCAGGUCCUGUCUCCUGGUUGGGAGUGGGGUUCUCCGCUUGUCUCCACAUAAAAUUUAAGAGCUAAGGAACGCAAUACUGAAAAAAGGACCAGGGGGAAAAUGAAUUAAUGAAGCCUCCCCAAGCUCUGAGUGAAGAAUACUAUCGAGGCCAUCUGUGGUCUGCCUGCCCAGUGCCCUUCGUCUCCACAGGGUCCAUCUCUUUCUGCGGGAAAAUCACAUCUCCCUGACCCUGAUCUUAUGGUUUGGACGGAGAGGGCACUACCUCCUGGCUCUGGUGGGAACUCAGUUUCAACCAAUAACACCACAUCCCUCCGGUCACAGUAACUAAUUCUGGGGCUGGCCCUUGACCAAUGCCAGAUCAGACAGAGGCAAGCCUGAGCCUCUUGCUCAAAUCCGUGGGAUUGCUAAACUGGCAGCACAUACGCCCAGAGCUUCUGGAAGUCAUCCUGCUACCACAGGAGGGGAGCCUGCCAGAGAAGAAAUCCAACAUAAAGGAAAACAGAGCCAGGGAUGGAUACUAAUUCCUGAUGACACCAUAUGAGUAUCUGGAUCCAGCUGCACUUACAGCCAGAACCACUUGGAUGUUUGUUAUCUAAACAAAUAAGUCUUUUGUUGUUGUUGUUAAGUCAGUAAUAACUUGAAUUCUAAGUAUUCUAUACCCAGAAAGGAAGAAUCUAUCCGUAUACAAAUUUAUAGCCUAGAGAAAUAAAAUGUCAGACUCUUCUGUUAA